Hippocampus comes (tiger tail seahorse) is the source of this 3797-nucleotide long non-coding RNA. RefSeq lists it as uncharacterized. The transcript is spliced from 6 exons. The record is from RefSeq and is a predicted model, not a curated record. NCBI's taxonomy places the organism in Eukaryota, Metazoa, Chordata, Actinopteri, Syngnathiformes, Syngnathidae.
AAUUCGGUCUUUGAGGACGGCUCCGUGUUCGUAUGACAAGACAAAUGCAGCGGUAACUGAAAUACUCCUCUCCCUCUGCCUUUGUUUGAAAUAUCCACAGCUCCAUGUCGACGCCUGCUAUUGAAACCAAGGGACCGCCACACAUCGGGGACAGAACAAAAACAUUUCGAUGCGGUUCUUAAAAGCCCGUGGCAGGCCGGCACUUUGUUAAAACGUGAGCAAAAAGGCCGCUGACAAGGCCUACCGGGAACAAAGAGGUUUGAAAAGAUGUCCCAAUGAUCUCAAGUCUUCGGCGGUGCAACAUUGUUCCACCAAGUUGAACGAAAGGGCACACUGCUGGAAGCGUCCAGUCACUCUGUGGGGGAGGACUGCUGGAGGGGUCUCAAGAUUCAGCGGACCCAAAAUGAAUGUUGGUGGAGAGAAUGACAUGGAGACCACCAAAAACACAGAAACAAAGGAAUCUUGUGUGGGUUGAGGAGAGCACAAAAGCGGUGAAAUGGCGCCCAUCAUCGAUAUCAGACUACAGUCAUGACAUUUGAGAAGCUUCGGGAGAGGAGCUGCACAAAUCCUCGACUGAAAGACACAAACCCCAACUCAACAUCACAGACGACUUAAGAAUCGAGUGCGGAGGGCUGACUGAAGCAGCAUAUUGUUGUUACACGCGAUUAUUGCCACCUCCCCAGAGUACCAACAAGCAACGUGAACAACACGAGACCAGAAUUCCCCGGUUCAUCCAUAAUGGAUCAAGUGAUGUGCUAGCUGCUCGUAACGGAUCACCCUCGGAAAAGAGGCCUUAAACAACUCGCCGCAUCUUGGCGCUCGUUCCAGCGAGAGGAUCGAGGACCCAUAUGACAAGGAUUGGGAAGCCGAGGCAGAACAAAGCUGCUCAAAUAUUGAUCACUGGGAGAGGUGGGGUGUCUUUGAGGUGUUUAGUCUCAGCCAGACAGCCGCCCGUGGGACUUGGUGGCGGGUUUUAAAGGCUAUGCAGCCAAGAGUGUAAGUGCAGGCAGGCUUCGUGUGCUUUAUCCACCUUCCGCUGUUGAUUCAGGCAGAACAGAAGAGCACAAGUCCUCUGAGGGAAUGGUGCAUCACCAGAACCGCGGCAUUGAUCAGUGAGGAUUGAAUGAGUUGGGUACUGAAAUCAUUGGAGGCCAUCCAACUUACUUUGCCCAAGCCAACUUUUUAUUUCUGCAGGCAUACAAACAAAAUUGUGACAGAGACAGAGUGACUAUCGAGUUGAUUUUAACCUAAUCAAGCACCCAUUAUAUAAAGUGUAAUAUAUUUUACUCUUAACUACCACUAGCCUUACUAAAUGUGUUUGACAAAAACCUGCAAACCUAAAAAAAAAAAAAAGAGAAAUAAAAAUACAUUUAGCAACAUGUUUCACAUUUGGAAUGCCUACAAAUGGUUGUUUUCUGAAGCGUGAACAUGAUGACGGGACACGCAUAUUAUCAGGGGCAGGGUGGAAAAUGAAAGCACUUGCUUGGCUCCACAGCUCAUCUGGCUGUUCUCUAAUUAAACUCAACUUUUUUGAUGAGCCCCCAACUUCUACUACUUCACCUAGGUAAGCUGCCAACGCCGCUCUGCCUGGCUUCCCGUGCUCUCAGAGCUGAUUUGGAUGACUGCCACCGAUUCCCUGCAUGUCAACACAGCAUCAGGUGCAUUUCGACUCAUUCCGUGCCCAUUUCAAAUUUCCAUCCUCGGUACUGCGGGCUGCUGAAGGGCGACGGCUGGCCAAACAUCUCCACUUUGCCAGAGUCCCGGCACAAGCCGCAGAUGCACGCGGGGACACGGGGUCCCUUCACCCUGCUGGCACGAGCCCCGGGCUGGCCAUCUGGUGCUUCAAGAACGGGUGCCAGUCACCCAUCACGCCUGCCCUCCUAUCUUCCUGAAAGACACAGCCCUCCGACGCGAAGGUCCUCGCACCAUCUUCACAGCUCCUCACCGCCUCUCUGCCAACGUACUUAUCUCCCACCGGGGACACUGCCCAAAAAACAGCAGAGUGCCAGCGUGUUAGAGUUGUUCAGAAUCAGCUCGCGUGCGCAAAGUGGAGCCCCGCGCGGAGCUGGGAUGUUCUGAAUAAGUGGACUCGGCUUGCCAUUUUGGCUGCUCCAGAAAAAGAAGAAUGUCUGUUGAAUGGACAAUCACUCGCUUUGUCUUGUCCAUUCAUGCAAUGCUUGAAGAGGCGUAAAUGUAUCGCCGGGGAAGACGGGCUUGUGUCAACACCCGCAUCAAUCCAUCCCCUGUCACUCAAAAGAUGCCAUGAAAGAAACCACAACUGGGAGCAGAGGACGGAGACAUUGAUUUGACUGAUGAAAUUCCCCUACACAUUAGCACGUUCGACGAAGUCCGUCGAUAUCGCGCUCCUCUUCUUUCAGACAGCUUGUACUUUCUCCCAGACGUUUUAAUUUUUCGUCGCAUCAACAAUUGCUUCAUUUGGUGAUAUGAGCUGCCGUUACACUUGUUGUUGUUUGUAAUCAAUGCAAUUAACAAGUCCUUUCUUCUAUCUGACAAGUUGUCCUUAAAAGUGAUGUCACACUAGUACCCUCUACUCAAUGCCGACACAAAACUGAACAAAAUAUCUGAUUUAUUUUCCGAUCAGGAAUCCUGUUGGGUACAUUCAGCCUACCUGUGUCUUCGAGUGGGUCUGUGUUACGCCGUCGUGUGUUUUCAAGUCGCAGGUUGAUCAGAAAGCUGAUGAGCAGAUGUUCUUGACUGCAUUCACUCACUUCGCACAGACAAUUAUCUCAUGAUUUCCGACGAGUCGGGCACAUGCUUCAAAAGGUUAACCCGUGGUCGGGAGCAUGUUUUGCAACCCGCUGAUGGUCUUAUCUGAAAAUUCCUAACUACUUCCAUUUGCUCUGCCGUCACGCAUGGUUAUAUCUUAAACUUGUGAAGAUGGCGUAAGCCAGACCGUCGACUCGACGCCAGCUGGAUUUUCUUGCUAUUUGAUGCGUUUUAGAUCGCUUGGGUUUGUGUUCUUUAUGUAGUCUUUGCACCUGGACCAAAUUCCAGAAAACUGUUUGCACGUGUGAUGGAUCUUUGACUUUAACACACAUUCUUCUUCAGCAGACUUUGUUAGCGGCGCUUAUUAGCCUUGCCAUCUUCCUCCUCCUCCAACAGCAUCAAAGUAGCUCUUCAAAGAUAGCGUGCGCCCCCAUUGUAUUCCAGCAAACAAACGCCACUACAUUGCCCUUCAGACCUUUUAAAGAUGAACAGAGGCGAAAGUCGCCAGGAGAAUAUAACGGGGGAUGCAUUUGUUGUGUUUGAUAUCAUCGACAUGGAGAGGACAAUCGAGGUGCAGAGGGACGUCUCAAUGGGAGAGUUCACGACAAAUGUUUUCAGCACAAAUACGCCACUUUGUUCUCUUUGCCGGCGCACUCCGGGAUCUCUGGAUAUGAAGAGAGCAAGUGAUUGCGGUGCUAGAAUUUGGGAGAAUGUUUGCGUCACCAAGUGGCGUAAUCACCACUUUAACGAUGUAAAGGAGCCGUUCAAAGUUCGAUGGCUUUAAGCUAAAAAGUGGCGCCGUUUGCGGACGUUUCAUCGUCUAAGUUGGUUCAAGUCAGUUACUGCUCUCUGGUAUCAGGAAUUGACAGUUUCCAUCAUGGCUAUGACGCACAGAGGCAACUUCAAAAAGUGCCCACUCUGUGGCGAGAACGCAAGUUUUCUUUGUUUGGUCUUCGGAGUUGAUUUAUUACAUUCUAAAUGAAACUUUUGUUAGCUGAGGAUAUUACAUUUGCGACACGGUGAAGAGUGUGUCGCAUCUCGUGAAAUGCGAUUUCUAUGUUUUGUUUGUG